This 468-nucleotide ribosomal RNA is filed under the name uncultured bacterium. RNAcentral's name for it is "partial 16S ribosomal RNA". It matches the Rfam family "Bacterial small subunit ribosomal RNA", at positions 28 to 507 of the family's 1533-position model. The record is from RNAcentral.
GACGAACGCUGGCGGCGUGCUUAACACAUGCAAGUCGAACGGAAAGGCCCUGCUUUUGUGGGGUGCUCGAGUGGCGAACGGGUGAGUAACACGUGAGUAACCUGCCCUUGACUUUGGGAUAACUUCAGGAAACUGGGGCUAAUAUCGGAUAGGAGCUCCUGCUGCAUGGUGGGGGUUGGAAAGUUUCGGCGGUUGGGGAUGGACUCGCGGCUUAAGAGCUUGUUGGUGGGGUAGUGGCUUACCAAGGCUUUGACGGGUAGCCGGCCUGAGAGGGUGACCGGCCACAUUGGGACUGAGAUACGGCCCAGACUCCUACGGGAGGCAGCAGUGGGGAAUAUUGCACAAUGGGCGGAAGCCUGAUGCAGCAACGCCGCGUGCGGGAUGACGGCCUUCGGGUUGUAAACCGCUUUCGCCUGUGACGAAGCGUGAGUGACGGUAAUGGGUAAAGAAGCACCGGCUAACUACGUG